UACGUAGGGGGCAAGCGUUGUCCGGAAUUAUUGGGCGUAAAGAGCGUGUAGGCGGUCCGGUAAGUCAGCUGUGAAAGUCAAGGGCUCAACCCUUGAAUGCCGGUUGAUACUGUCGGGCUAGAGUCCGGAAGAGGCGAGUGGAAUUCCCGGUGUAGCGGUGAAAUGCGCAGAUAUCGGGAGGAACACCAAUGGCGAAGGCAGCUCGCUGGGACGGUACUGACGCCGAGACGCGAAAGCGUGGGGGAGCAAACAGG
RNAcentral lists this ribosomal RNA (254 nucleotides) under uncultured bacterium. Its description in RNAcentral is "partial 16S ribosomal RNA". It matches the Rfam family "Bacterial small subunit ribosomal RNA", at positions 524 to 776 of the family's 1533-position model. The record is from RNAcentral.